RNAcentral lists this ribosomal RNA (1715 nucleotides) under Datnioides campbelli. RNAcentral describes it as "16S ribosomal RNA". It matches the Rfam family "Bacterial large subunit ribosomal RNA". The record is from RNAcentral. Lineage: Eukaryota; Metazoa; Chordata; Actinopteri; Lobotiformes; Datnioididae.
CGCCCAUUAGCUAGCUCCCCCUCCCCCAAAAACAACAAAAAAAUCUCAAUACCCCCAUAUACCCUCCUACACAUAUUAAACAAAACAUUUUUCCCCCCCAGUAUGGGAGACAAAAAAGGAUCAAUAAAGCUAUAGAAAAAGUACCGCAAGGGAACGCUGAAAAAGAAAUGAAAUAGCCCAGUAAAGCUCUAAAAAGCAGAGAUUAACACUCGUACCUUUUGCAUCAUGAUUUAGUUAGUAAAACCCAAGCAAAGAGGACUUUAGUUUGACUCCCCGAAACUAGAUGAGCUACUCCAAGGCAGCCUAUUAGUAGGGCCAACCCGUCUCUGUGGCAAAAGAGUGGGAAGACCUUCGAGUAGAGGUGACAGACCUAUCGAAUCUAGCUAUAGCUGGUUGCCUGAAAAAUGAACAGAAGUUCAGCCUCCGAAUUUCUUCACUCACUAAAUAUUUUAUCCAAACCCCAUAGACAACAAGAAAUUCAGAGAGUUAGUCAAAGGGGGUACAGCCCCUUUGACCCAAGACACAACUUUUCAGGGUGGGUAAAGAUCAUAACUAAGUUAAAAGAAAAAUAUCCCAGUGGGCCUAAAAGCAGCCAUCCAAACAGAAAGCGUUAAAGCUCAAACAUUACUCUUAACCUAAUUAUCACGACAACCACUAUCUUAAACCCCCAACCUUACCAGGCCUUUCCAUGCAACCAUGGAAGAGACCAUGCUAAUAUGAGUAAUAAGAGAGGUCCCUCUCCCUCUCUCCAUGCACACAUGUAAAUCGGAACGGACCCCCCACCGAACCUUAACGACCCCAAACAACAGAGGGCAUUAGACAAUAAGCUUAACAACUAGAAAAAUACCUACCCCACCCCCGUUAACCCCACACCGGUGUGCAAUUAAGGAAAGACUAACAGAGAAAAAAGGAACUCGGCAAACACUAAAGCCCCGCCUGUUUACCAAAAACAUCGCCUCUUGCCAAACAACAAAUAAGAGGUCCCACCUGCCCAGUGACUAUAUGUUCAACGGCCGCGGUAUUCUGACCGUGCAAAGGUAGCGCAAUCACUUGUCUUUUAAAUGGAGACCUGUAUGAAUGGUAUCACGAAGGCUUGACUGUCUCCUUUCUCAAGUCAAUGAAAUUGAUCUUCCCGUGCAGAAGCGGGCAUAAACUCAUAAGACGAGAAGACCCUAUGGAGCUUUAGACACAAAACGGACUACGUCAAACACCCCCCUAUAAAGGAUUGAACUUAAUAGCCCCCAUUUAAAUGUCUUUGGUUGGGGCGACCAUGGGGAAACAAAAAACCCCCACGCGGACAGGAAGCACUACUUUAAUAAAACCUACCACAACCCAGAGCCCCCGCUCUAAUGACCAGAAAUUCUGACCUACAAGACCCGGCAAUAGCCGAUCAACGGACCGAGUUACCCUAGGGAUAACAGCGCAAUCCCCUUUCAGAGUCCAUAUCGACAAGGGGGUUUACGACCUCGAUGUUGGAUCAGGACAUCCUAAUGGUGCAGCCGCUAUUAAGGGUUCGUUUGUUCAACGAUUAAAGUCCUACGUGAUCUGAGUUCAGACCGGAGUAAUCCAGGUCAGUUUCUAUCUAUGAUAUAUUCUUCUCUAGUACGAAAGGACCGAGAAGAAAGGGCCCAUGCCCCAAGUACGCCCUCCCCUUACCUAUUGAAAACAACUAAAAUAGAUAAAAGAACAUAUCUCCCUGCUUAAGAAAAUAGCAU